Molecule: transfer RNA, 74 nt
Filed under: candidate division WWE3 bacterium RIFCSPLOWO2_01_FULL_39_13
Lineage: Bacteria; candidate division WWE3
Description: tRNA-Gly
Rfam family: tRNA
About the family: Transfer RNA (tRNA) molecules are approximately 80 nucleotides in length. Their secondary structure includes four short double-helical elements and three loops (D, anti-codon, and T loops).
Source: RNAcentral
GCGGGAUUAGUUGAUUGGAACAACAUCACCUUCCCAAGGUGGAAAAACGGGUUCGAUUCCCGUAUCCCGCUCCA